This 88-nucleotide microRNA precursor is filed under the name Bombyx mori (domestic silkworm). RNAcentral's name for it is "microRNA bmo-mir-3378 precursor". Lineage: Eukaryota; Metazoa; Arthropoda; Insecta; Lepidoptera; Bombycidae. The record is from miRBase by way of RNAcentral.
GUCCUUAUCUUCCAUGUUGAUCGGGGCUGCUUCGCUCGCGUCGUCCUCCACGUGGGAUCUUGCUGCUCCAAUUGUCUGGACACGCAGG